AAGCACGUUAGGUUUUCGUCUUAGAGGUGUAUCUUAUGAUACCGGAAAUU
This 50-nucleotide transfer RNA is filed under the name Haliotis virginea. Its description in RNAcentral is "partial tRNA-Glu". Lineage: Eukaryota; Metazoa; Mollusca; Gastropoda; Lepetellida; Haliotidae. RNAcentral also lists the same sequence under 1 other name. The record is from RNAcentral.